CCUACGGGUGGCUGCAGUGGGGAAUAUUGCACAAUGGGGGAAACCCUGAUGCAGCGACGCCGCGUGAGCGAUGACGUAUUUCGGUAUGUAAAGCUCUAUCAGCAGGGAAGAAAAUGACGGUACCUGACUAAGAAGCCCCGGCUAAAUACGUGCCAGCAGCCGCGGUAAUACGUAGGUGGCAAGCGUUAUCCGGAUUUACUGGGUGUAAAGGGAGCGUAGACGGAAAGGCAAGUCAGAAGUGAAAACCCAAGGCUCAACCAUGGGACUGCAUUUGAAACUGUCAAACUAGAGUACAGGAGAGGUAAGAGGAAUUCGUAGUGUAGCGGUGAAAUGCGUAGAUAUUAGGAGGAACACCAGUGGCGAAGGCGUCUUACUGGACCGAAACUGACGUUGAGGCUCGAAAGCGUGGGGAGCAAACAGGAUUAGAUACCCGUGUAGUC
This 440-nucleotide ribosomal RNA is filed under the name uncultured bacterium. Its description in RNAcentral is "partial 16S ribosomal RNA". It matches the Rfam family "Bacterial small subunit ribosomal RNA", at positions 338 to 795 of the family's 1533-position model. The record is from RNAcentral.